GAUGAACGCUGGCGGCGUGCCUAGUACAUGCAAGUCGAGCGAACAGACGAGGAGCUUGCUCCUCUGACGUUAGCGGCGGACGGGUGAGUAACACGUGGAUAACCUACCUAUAAGACUGGGAUAACUUCGGGAAACCGGAGCUAAUACCGGAUAAUAUAUUGAACCGCAUGGUUCAAUAGUGAAAGACGGUUUUGCUGUCACUUAUAGAUGGAUCCGCGCCGCAUUAGCUAGUUGGUAAGGUAACGGCUUACCAAGGCGACGAUGCGUAGCCGACCUGAGAGAGUGAUCGGCCACACUGGAACUGAGACACGGUCCAGACGCCUACGGGAGGCAGCAGUAGGGAAUCUGCCGCAAUGGGCGAAAGCUUGACGGAGCAACGCCGCGUGAGUGAUGAAGGUCUUCGGAUCGUAAAACUCUGUUAUUAGGGAAGAACAAAUGUGUAAGUAACUAUGCACGUCUUGACGGUACCUAAUCAGAAAGCCACGGCUAACUACGUG
This 497-nucleotide ribosomal RNA is filed under the name uncultured bacterium. RNAcentral describes it as "partial 16S ribosomal RNA". It matches the Rfam family "Bacterial small subunit ribosomal RNA", at positions 28 to 507 of the family's 1533-position model. The record is from RNAcentral.